This 584-nucleotide ribosomal RNA is filed under the name uncultured bacterium. Its description in RNAcentral is "partial 16S ribosomal RNA". It matches the Rfam family "Bacterial small subunit ribosomal RNA", at positions 355 to 1375 of the family's 1533-position model. The record is from RNAcentral.
UGGGGAAUUUUGGACAAUGGGCGAAAGCCUGAUCCAGCAAUGCCGCGUGUGUGAAGAAGGCCUUCGGGUUGUAAAGCACUUUUGUCCGGAAAGAAAUCCUUGGCUCUAAUACAGUCGGGGGAUGACGGUACCGGAAGAAUAAGCACCGGCUAACUACGUGCCAGCAGCCGCGGUAAUACGUAGGGUGCAAGCGUUAAUCGGAAUUACUGGGCGUAAAGCGUGCGCAGGCGGUUUGCUAAGACCGAUGUGAAAUCCCCGGGCUCAACCUGGGAACUGCAUUGGUGACUGGCAGGCUAGAGUAUGGCAGAGGGGGGUAGAAUUCCACGUGUAGCAGUGAAAUGCGUAGAGAUGUGGAGGAAUACGAUGGCGAAGGCAGCCCCCUGGGCCAAUACUGACGCUCAUGCACGAAAGCGUGGGGAGCAAACAGGAUUAGAUACCCUGGUAGUCCACGCCCUAAACGAUGUCAACUAGUUGUUGGGGAUUCAUUUCCUUAGUAACGUAGCUAACGCGUGAAGUUGACCGCCUGGGGAGUACGGUCGCAAGAUUAAAACUCAAAUGAAUUGACGGGGUCAUAGCUGUUUCCU